CGGUUCGUAUCCACGCUGUUAGUGCCCAUUUGAUACGCGAAUAGCUUAGGAGCUGUAGUUUGUUUGUAUCGCCGCAGUUUGUUGGCGGUGGAUACCCAAGAUAGUGUAGAAUGUAUUUACGCUCGUGCUUAGAUGCCGAGCUUAUUUUUACAGCAGUGUUUAGGCUGUUCCGGACUGUCGGGUGCUGUUGAGGUUGACGGUGGACCCAAAUUACUGU
RNAcentral lists this long non-coding RNA (217 nucleotides) under Ananas comosus (pineapple). Its description in RNAcentral is "long non-coding RNA (ACOM_LNC044192)". Lineage: Eukaryota; Viridiplantae; Streptophyta; Magnoliopsida; Poales; Bromeliaceae. The record is from RNAcentral.